UACAGGGGGGGCAAGCGUUGUUCGGAAUUACUGGGCGUAAAGGGGUCGUAGGCGGCCAACUAAGUCCGACGUGAAAUCCCAAGGCUUAACCUUGGAACUGCGUCGGAUACUGGAUGGCUUGAAUUCGGGAGAGGGAUGCAGAAUUCCAGGUGUAGCGGUGAAAUGCGUAGAUAUCUGGAGGAAUACCGGUGGCGAAGGCGGCAUCCUGGACCGACAUUGACGCUGAAUGCCGAAAGCUAGGGGAGCAAACGGG
RNAcentral lists this ribosomal RNA (253 nucleotides) under uncultured bacterium. RNAcentral's name for it is "partial 16S ribosomal RNA". It matches the Rfam family "Bacterial small subunit ribosomal RNA", at positions 524 to 776 of the family's 1533-position model. The record is from RNAcentral.